AAAUUGAAGAGUUUGAUCAUGGCUCAGAUUGAACGCUGGCGGCAGGCCUAACACAUGCAAGUCGAGCGGAAACGAGUUAUCUGAACCUUCGGGGAACGAUAGCGGCGUCGAGCGGCGGACGGGUGAGUAAUGCCUAGGAAAUUGCCCUGAUGUGGGGGAUAACCAUUGGAAACGAUGGCUAAUACCGCAUGAUGCCUACGGGCCAAAGAGGGGGACCUUCGGGCCUCUCGCGUCAGGAUAUGCCUAGGUGGGAUUAGCUAGUUGGUGAGGUAAGGGCUCACCAAGGCGACGAUCCCUAGCUGGUCUGAGAGGAUGAUCAGCCACACUGGAACUGAGACACGGUCCAGACUCCUACGGGAGGCAGCAGUGGGGAAUAUUGCACAAUGGGCGCAAGCCUGAUGCAGCCAUGCCGCGUGU
RNAcentral lists this ribosomal RNA (417 nucleotides) under Vibrio parahaemolyticus. RNAcentral describes it as "bacterial SSU rRNA". It matches the Rfam family "Bacterial small subunit ribosomal RNA", at positions 1 to 404 of the family's 1533-position model. The record is from RNAcentral. Lineage: Bacteria; Pseudomonadati; Pseudomonadota; Gammaproteobacteria; Vibrionales; Vibrionaceae.